RNAcentral lists this ribosomal RNA (450 nucleotides) under uncultured bacterium. RNAcentral's name for it is "bacterial SSU rRNA". It matches the Rfam family "Bacterial small subunit ribosomal RNA", at positions 354 to 796 of the family's 1533-position model. The record is from RNAcentral.
GUGGGGAAUAUUGGACAAUGGGCGAAAGCCUGAUCCAGCCAUGCCGCGUGUGUGAAGAAGGUCUUCGGAUUGUAAAGCACUUUAAGUUGGGAGGAAGGGCAGUAAGUUAAUACCUUGCUGUUUUGACGUUACCGACAGAAUAAGCACCGGCUAACUUCGUGCCAGCAGCCGCGGUAAUACGAAGGGUGCAAGCGUUAAUCGGAAUUACUGGGCGUAAAGCGCGCGUAGGUGGUUUUGUAAGUUGGAGGUGAAAUCCCCGGGCUCAACCUGGGAACUGCCUACAAAACUGCAUGACUAGAGUACGGUAGAGGGUAGUGGAAUUUCCUGUGUAGCGGUGAAAUGCGUAGAUAUAGGAAGGAACACCAGUGGCGAAGGCGACUACCUGGACUGAUACUGACACUGAGGUGCGAAAGCGUGGGGAGCAAACAGGAUUAGAAACCCCAGUAGUCC